RNAcentral lists this small nuclear RNA (119 nucleotides) under Crocodylus porosus (Australian saltwater crocodile). RNAcentral describes it as "U2 spliceosomal RNA (ENSCPRG00005016943.1)". It matches the Rfam family "U2 spliceosomal RNA", at positions 67 to 185 of the family's 192-position model. From Rfam's summary of the family: U2 is a small nuclear RNA (snRNA) component of the spliceosome (involved in pre-mRNA splicing). Lineage: Eukaryota; Metazoa; Chordata; Crocodylia; Crocodylidae. The record is from RNAcentral.
UGUCCUCCAUAGGAGGUCUAUGUUGAGCAGAUUUUUUUUGGUGUUGGGUGGUGGAACUGGAGCUUGCCCCAUCCACUCCAUGCAUUGACCUGGUAUUGCAGUGCUUCCAGGACCGGUGC